This 191-nucleotide ribosomal RNA is filed under the name uncultured Flavobacteriales bacterium. RNAcentral describes it as "partial 16S ribosomal RNA". It matches the Rfam family "Bacterial small subunit ribosomal RNA", at positions 335 to 523 of the family's 1533-position model. Lineage: Bacteria; Pseudomonadati; Bacteroidota; Flavobacteriia; Flavobacteriales. The record is from RNAcentral.
ACCCCUACGGGAGGCAGCAGUGGGGAAUCUUAGACAAUGGGCGGGAGCCUGAUCCAGCCAUGCCGCGUGCAGGAAGACUGCCCUAUGGGUUGUAAACUGCUCUUGUACGGGAAGAAUAAGCGCUACGUGUAGCGCGGUGACGGUACCGUAAGAAUAAGGAUCGGCUAACUCCGUGCCAGCAGCCGCGGUAA